AACGAACGCUGGCGGCAUGCCUAACACAUGCAAGUCGAACGAGACCUUCGGGUCUAGUUGCGCACGGGUGCGUAACGCGUGGGAACCUGCCCUUAGGUUCGGAAUAACUCCCCGUCAGGGGUGCUAAUACCGGAUAAUGUCUUCUGACCAAAGAUUUAUCGACCUUGGAUGGGCCCGCGUUGCAUUAGCUAGUUGGUAGGGUAAAAGCCUACCAAGGCGACGAUCCAUAGCUGGUCUGAGAGGAUGGUCAGCCACACUGGGACUGGGACGCGGCCCGGAAUAUUACGGGAGGCAGCAGAGGGGAAUAUUGGAAAACGGGCGAAAGGAUGAUGCAGCUAUGGCGGGUGAGUGAUGAAGGCCGUAGGGUUGUAAAGCUCUUUUACCCGGGAUGAUAAUGACAGUACCGGGAGAAUAAGCUCCGGCUAACUCCGUG
Molecule: ribosomal RNA, 433 nt
Filed under: uncultured bacterium
Lineage: Bacteria
Description: partial 16S ribosomal RNA
Rfam family: Bacterial small subunit ribosomal RNA
Source: RNAcentral